Molecule: ribosomal RNA, 471 nt
Filed under: uncultured organism
Description: partial 16S ribosomal RNA
Rfam family: Bacterial small subunit ribosomal RNA
Source: RNAcentral
ACUCCUGCGGGAGGCAGCAGUGGGGAAUUUUGGACAAUGGGCGAAAGCCUGAUCCAGCAAUGCCGCGUGAGUGAAGAAGGCCUUCGGGUUGUAAAGCUCUUUUGUCAGGGAAGAAACGGUGAAAGCUAAUAUCUUUUGCUAAUGACGGUACCUGAAGAAUAAGCACCGGCUAACUACGUGCCAGCAGCCGCGGUAAUACGUAGGGUGCAAGCGUUAAUCGGAAUUACUGGGCGUAAAGCGUGCGCAGGCGGUUUUGUAAGUCUGAUGUGAAAUCCCCGGGCUCAACCUGGGAAUUGCAUUGGAGACUGCAAGGCUAGAAUCUGGCAGAGGGGGGUAGAAUUCCACGUGUAGCAGUGAAAUGCGUAGAUAUGUGGAGGAACACCGAUGGCGAAGGCAGCCCCCUGGGUCAAGAUUGACGCUCAUGCACGAAAGCGUGGGGAGCAAACAGGAUUAGAUACCCCUGUAGUCCCA